UACGUAGGGUGCAAGCGUUGUCCGGAAUUAUUGGGCGUAAAGGGCUCGUAGGCGGUUUGUCGCGUCGGGAGUGAAAAUCCAGGGCUUAACUCUGGACUGGCUUCCGAUACGGGCAGACUAGAGGUAUGCAGGGGAGAACGGAAUUCCUGGUGUAGCGGUGAAAUGCGCAGAUAUCAGGAGGAACACCGGUGGCGAAGGCGGUUCUCUGGGCAUUACCUGACGCUGAGGAGCGAAAGUGUGGGGAGCGAACAGG
This 253-nucleotide ribosomal RNA is filed under the name uncultured bacterium. RNAcentral describes it as "partial 16S ribosomal RNA". It matches the Rfam family "Bacterial small subunit ribosomal RNA", at positions 524 to 776 of the family's 1533-position model. The record is from RNAcentral.